GCCGUUAUAGUAUAGUGGUUAGUACAGGUCGUUGUGGCCGACCAGACCCAGGUUCGAUUCCAGGUAACGGCA
This is a transfer RNA of 72 nucleotides. It matches the Rfam family "tRNA". Rfam says of the family: Transfer RNA (tRNA) molecules are approximately 80 nucleotides in length. Their secondary structure includes four short double-helical elements and three loops (D, anti-codon, and T loops). Further hydrogen bonds mediate the characteristic L-shaped molecular structure. tRNAs have two regions of fundamental functional importance: the anti-codon, which is responsible for specific mRNA codon recognition, and the 3' end, to which the tRNAs corresponding amino acid is attached (by aminoacyl-tRNA synthetases). tRNAs cope with the degeneracy of the genetic code in two manners: having more than one tRNA (with a specific anti-codon) for a particular amino acid; and 'wobble' base-pairing, i.e. permitting non-standard base-pairing at the 3rd anti-codon position. The record is from Rfam.